GGGUUAGAUCGCAUUAAUAUAAAUUAAUUUUUAACUCCACUACCACCCGACACAGCCAAUUAGUAAGGUUUGCGCUCCUCUUCCAGAACCAACUGCAUCGAAGGACAAGACACCCGCACCUACAACCUCCAGCAACAAGGGGCCAGAACCAUCACCCCCAGAAGGGCCAGUGACACCGAAACCCCCGGUUGAGGAAAAUCCAACAAAGCCAGCUCCAGAAGAGAGUGGCGCUCCUCCUCAAGAACCAACUGGACCCAAGGACAAGACACCCCCACCUCCAACCUCUGGCAACAAGGAGCCAGAACCGACACCCCCUGAAGGGCCAGUGACACCGAAACCCCCGGUUGAGGAAAAGCCAACAAAGCCAGC
Petromyzon marinus (sea lamprey) is the source of this 369-nucleotide non-coding RNA. NCBI's taxonomy places the organism in Eukaryota, Metazoa, Chordata, Hyperoartia, Petromyzontiformes, Petromyzontidae. The record is from RefSeq and is a predicted model, not a curated record.